UCUCAGUAAACUCAGAUAAAUAAUUCUGAAAUAUCUGUAUGCAAACGAGUAUAUUAGAAGAAACAUGGAAAGGGGAAGUGUGGUGCUGCUCCAUAUAUCAUUCAGGAAUAAACACGAGCCAACCAGAGAGUCACAAUGUGAAAAAAAGAAAAGGAGCAUGGUCAUUCUUUAGAUAAAAUUCAUACAAUUAUAAUUUCAAAAUUUCUAACUUAUAUUUCUGCCAAAUAUAGAACCUAAGCAGAAACAUUUACUCUAUACAAUGUGUUGGAAUAAAAUCUCAAUUCUCUUGCAAAAUUUGAAGCAAUACCAUUCGGGCGAAUCAAGAGAUUAGGGAAAAGAAUUCCUCUAGCCGACUUUCAUUUAUCACCACACCAUGUUUUUGGUUGAAAACUAAAUUGAUAGAUUCAGCCCCCACAUUUGUCAACUCAUUAGAUGCAUGGAUCUCCAUGUAUUCAUUCAAGUUGUUCACAGUCCCAUCUGCAAAUUUGCAUUCAGGAAAAAAAAAUUAAUGUAAAACCAUGGAGCAAUGGACCUCCAAAUUCUGUAUUUCAAAUCAAUGAUCUUUAGAAGGAAUUUAGUUGUUCUUACUAAAAAGCUAAAUGCAAUCUCAAAACUAUAACUAAUACCAUUAAAUCUCUCUUAUAUGUCAUACAGAUGCAGGUAACUAGCAAAUGUGCAUUCCACUGUCACCUUUCUUUCUGCAUAUGGAGAAUAUCUUCCGAAUCAAUUUAAAUAUUAAAUUCUCCAAGGUUUCAGUUUGAUUGCAUUUAAAACUCUGAUGGGAGUCAGCUUAAUUCAGCCACCUAUGCAUCUUAUAGAACGAUAGCAUAGGACAUCUUUUUCCCCCUUAAUGACAGAAGAUACAGCCAACUAAGCCUUCAUCCAAACUAGUUGGGGUUGGACUUAACACAAGAAAACUAAGGAAAAAUUUCUCUCAGACUAAUUGAAAAUACUACCAUCAGAGUAUAGGCUUAAGAAUCAAAUUAUCUCCUUUGGGCAUAACUACCUAUGAAAGAUUAGCUUGGUAGUGGUACAAUAUACUUCUUCAGUCUAAGUAUAUAAUUACCAUGAUAAGAAUCAGAAAAAUUGGAAAUGAAAAUCAAUCGAUACGUUAACCAUCAUAUCUAUAAGAUCAAAACAAAGAAUACAAUAUUUAAGGAGCUUUAAGCAACUUUGUGUCGGAUCUCACAAACACUGAAACAGACUUGUUAAACACUGAAACAGACUUGUUAUGUUCAAAUUGAAUGGGCACAAGUUUUUGUCUUGGUUGUUUACAGAUAACUUACCUUCAGCUACUAUUGGUUCAUAAGCAGGAGGCUGAGCAAUCCAGUUCCCAGCAGAUUCUUUCAUGUGUCUUCUAUCAGAUGCAAAGUUGCGGAGGAAUAAUGGAGCAUGCACAAUCCUAAAGAACCUCUGGUAGUCAGAAAAGAGCUGAAAUGAUGGCCGGAUAGUCUCAGAAAUGUACACAGCCAAUGGAGAGGGAAAGGGAAGACUCGAGUCUAAAUCCCACACUACAUAAGGAGAGUCACCAUCCCCUUUUCUCUGAAUGCAAAUGACAUGAUAAUCCCAAAGGACAAUCCCAUCUGCUCUCUUACUGGCCUUUUGAUGCCACAGAGGAACCUGUUUAUUUUCAUUGGAAAUGAAAGCAACAAAGAGAUCAGAUCCCUCAGCAUCUGCUAUUCCUUUCUGGCACAGUUUCUUGCAAAGGAAGUAUACAUUCUCCUCACAGUAAAAUGGAGUAUGAUCGAAUUGAGAAACGUUCACUUCGCUUACUCUUACUUCCAAGUUUGCACUCGUCAUCUUCCUUCUCUUUCCGGUCAAGCUUUUUUCUCCUACCAACUUACCAUCAUUUCCUUAUAUACCUCCAAAACUCAGUAAAAACGACGUCGUUUUAAUAUGUAAACGGUAAACCAUAUGCCAUUUAUUUGCGAAAAGGUCGCAUGAACGACGCCCCGUUUAAUGUUUCUCUAACCAUUUUUACAAUUAAUACAAGCAAAUAUCACCGCCACAGCCGCCAAAAAUGGAAUUGGAACCACAACCAGAGACGUCUGCGCCGUCGCAUCGCCGUCGUUCAAGCUGCAGUAACUGCAAUCGGCCACUCCCAGUCUGCCUCUGCCACGUAAUCCCCACCUCACCAAUUCCAACUGCGACACAAAUCAUAAUAAUUCAACACCCACACGAAUCCCGCCACAAGCUCAAUACUACACCUGCACUCACCAAAUGCCUACUCAACGCCACCUCUCUCAUAUCCCGCCGCCUAACCCCUAACCUCCACCCUCUCCUCACCAACAACCACCCCUCUCCGGCUACAUUUUACCUCUUCCCUCCUACCCAUUCUUCGCCGGCCAUAACCUUAUCGGACCUCAAAAAAUCCGUUAACGAAUUCCGAAAUACCAACAAUGUUCCUGUGGUUUUAAUCGUGUUUGAUGCGACAUGGAAGCAUGCGAAGGAGAUGGUGAGCGCAAGCGAAGGAUAUUUAAGCAAAUUCUCUACGAGAGUGUGUUUGGAUGGAUUUGAUGAGGGUAGGGAAGGAGGGAGCAUAUAUGACUCGGAGUUGGUAUUGCGGAAGGAGCCGUGCGGUGGUUGCGUGAGCACUUUGGAGGCGGUGGCAAGGUGGUUGGGGGCGAUGGAGGAGAAUGGGCCGGAGAUUGAAGAAAGAUUGAUUGUGGUAUUGAGAGAGAUGGUUAGGUUGCAGGCUCAGUUCUUGAAGCCCAUGAAGCCCAGGCCCAAGAAGGCCCAAAAUUGAUCUAGGCUUCUACUCUACUCUGCUAGUGUUCCCAUUAUCGUACUCCUUGUUCCAUUAUUGGUGUGAAUUUAU
RNAcentral lists this unclassified non-coding RNA (2818 nucleotides) under Hevea brasiliensis (rubber tree). The record is from RNAcentral. Lineage: Eukaryota; Viridiplantae; Streptophyta; Magnoliopsida; Malpighiales; Euphorbiaceae.